AAGGAGUAAAGGGAGCGCCAACGUACAUGCAAAUUUCACCCAAAGCAUCAGCAGCAAUUUCCUUUUCCAUAGCAAUGGCGCUGUUAACACCCAUAGCCUUUUCAAGCUCUUCAUCAUUUUCCUCUUCAUUGGUUUCAACUGAAUCUAAUAGUUGGCUAAUCUCCUCGGCAGUAGGCGCUCCGAUACGUUCAGACAAUAUAUCUGACUCAUCUUGAUCGAUGGAUUUGAAUAAAGCAGGAACAAUGUGCUCCAAAAAUGGUGCGAACUCUUCUUUAUAAACACGAGCAAGGACAGCAUAGAAGCAGAAAGAACACUCACGAAGUCGUGAAUGAUCAAUUUGGAUACCCUCAUAAGCUAGUUGAAUAAGUUGUUCAGUGUAAGGCAAAAACGCUUGUUUACCAACUGCGUUUGCAAUGGCACCGAGGGUAUCCAUAACUGUACCACGAAGUUCGUAUCCUUCAUCAUCAUCAGUGGUAUGUAAACAUUGCGAGAGACUAGCCAUUGUACGUUCGAAAUAAGGUAUAAAGUCAUCUUGAGCAGCAAAUGCUGCAGAGCCAAUAGCAGCGGCAACACAGCUCUUAAUGUCAGGAGUGUCGCUGAACUCCAACAAGCCGACAAGUCUUUCCAUAAGCAUCGGUAAAUAACCAGAAAUCUCAGACUUAUCCAGACCUUCUAAAAGGGCGUCAAUGCAAUUGCAAGCUGAUUUGCCUACCUUUACACCUUGAGUUGACAUCAGUUCGAAUACCAAUGGCAAAAGCUGAGCAUGGUGUUUAGAAACUUCAGUAGGAAUUUCAACAGCAAUUUGACUCAAUGCAAGCAGAGCUGCCUGACGAACAUCCAUAUCAUUAUCGCAUAAACCAUUUAUAAUGAUAGGAAAUAUGUUAGGAAGAUUUCCAGCAACAGAUUCUGAUGAGCCUUCAACGGCAACGCCAAUUGAUAGCAAAGCAGCUUUACGAUAGCUAGCCUGUGGAGAUUGCGAGAAUGCACAAGCAGCUUCAAACAUAGGGUAAAAAACCUGUGAAGGCGACAAAUGUGUAGAUAGAAGAUCAAUGGAACGUAAGGCAAGACGAGCAGGACAAUCUUCAUCUAUGUCAUCAGUAGUUUCUUCCGUAGCAACUUCCAUAAGCGUAAGGACUAGAGGCUUACCAAGUUUAAGAGCUUGCAGCUUACGUGACUUGAAACGUAUGCACGAAAUUAUAAAAGAAAGGGCCAUACAGCGAAUUUCAUCAUCGACCUGCUUGGAAUUUGCAAUGCCAGUAAUAAUUUCAAUAAUAUUACCAAGUGCUUUGGAAAUAAUGGCACCAGAAGCAAUAAGAAAAGUGUUAAAAACAUCAAAAACUUGCUUGCUGGCAUCCACAUCACCGACCUGAACGACAUCUUGAAGAACCAAAAGCAUGCCAGGCAAGGUAGCACGAUAAGCGUGCAAAAGCUUUUUAUCAUCAGACUCCAAAACCUCUGCAAUUGCACCAAGACCUUGAACAGAAGUAACACGAACUGUUCGACUAGAGUCAGUAAUUGUUUGGGAGAAUAAGUUGACAAAAUCCAAAAGGAGCUUAUUAUCUAAAUCUACCGUUUCAGCAAUUGAGUAGAGAACAUAAACAGCCAUUUCACGAAUAGAAUCGUUUUGAUCCAUAGUGGCUUGGACCAGGAAAGCCGAUAAUUCAUUCCAUUUUCCUUCAGGUAAAUCAAGCUUAGCCAAGGCAGCAAUCACACGACCAAAAGCAUGACGGACGAUACUUUCAGGUUCCUUCAAGGUAAUAUCUAACAAAUUACUACGGAUCUGAUUUUGGACAUCCGCGUCAACGGAUGACCAAUAUUUAUGACAAAGCUUACGUGCCUCGAUGGCAGCUAACUGACGAACUUGGGGAUUUUCACAAGUUCCCAUAAUAUGGAAAAGAGAAAGUAGUGAGCCAGGUUCCUUCAAAUACUUUGUUUCCAAGGCGCGAGUGGCCUCAGUAAUUUGAGUGGUAUCAGGAGCGAUGCUUUGAAAAAGCAGC
Schizosaccharomyces pombe (fission yeast) is the source of this 1997-nucleotide non-coding RNA. Lineage: Eukaryota; Fungi; Ascomycota; Schizosaccharomycetes; Schizosaccharomycetales; Schizosaccharomycetaceae. The record is from the annotation of a GenBank genome assembly.